CAGUUACGUAGGUAGGUCUUCUGACCAAGAUUAUCGUGCCUCUGCUUUGCUCAUUUAGUCUGUCCUGAAUCAUGGUACGAUACAGACGUAUUCGGUGGAAUUAGUUUUUUUUUAGGGAGAAUUUUCUCCUAUUUCUUUAAAAAUGUAAAAAGUAGAUAUCUUAAUUAAUUACUAAAUGAAAAUGGUAGUCAGUCUGUGAAAGUUUCCUCCUUUUUUAGUUUUCUUCAUAUGUUAAAAUACCACAGUCAUUAGUAAAACAGAAAUGUAAAAUCUUCAAAUUUGCGACCAAAUCCGCUUUAAAAAGCGGUCCCAGCUUUACCACUACCAGAAUUUCAACUACAGGCCAUCCAGACUUCAACUUUAGAUCAACUGCCUUCCUGGUUCCUAUAGCUUCAAAUUCACAUGAGAGCUCCAUUUCAAGUCGCCUACAAUUCGCCACCUGGAUUACGAGCAAAUUACAAAAAGGAUUAGUACGGUAAUCCAGCAGAUCCAGCCCAAAAUCAGAAGAAGAUAGGGAUUUCUGGGGGAAGUUAAUUUGUGCGCGAAAUGAAAUAAUACGUGAAAAUUAUAUGAGUGUGAAAAGUUUCAAAUAAAUACAUCGAUAAUCUAAAAUAAAUACAAGUGUUUGGGGCCCCUCACUUCUGCGAUAUGUACAUACAGGUAUUUUUAGAAUUUAAUAUUUAUUAAUUUCUAAGGUUUAUUAAUUUUGUAAAAUCUUUAAACCGUUAUUAAUAUUUUAAAGUUUGAAUUCUGGGGAAUAUUCUUCUCAAAUAGUUUUUGUAUUGCUCUUUGAUAUUUGAUAUUUUUUCUGUUUUUUGUAAAUUAUACAACUGACUACCA
This is a long non-coding RNA of Nilaparvata lugens (brown planthopper), 840 nucleotides long. RefSeq lists it as uncharacterized. Lineage: Eukaryota; Metazoa; Arthropoda; Insecta; Hemiptera; Delphacidae. The transcript has 2 exons. The record is from RefSeq and is a predicted model, not a curated record.